Caenorhabditis elegans is the source of this 21-nucleotide non-coding RNA. NCBI's taxonomy places the organism in Eukaryota, Metazoa, Nematoda, Chromadorea, Rhabditida, Rhabditidae. The record is from Ensembl.
UGCGCAUAUCAAUUGAUCUUU